ACUUGAGUAGCUUAAUAAUUUAGAGCGCGACACUGAAGAUGUCGAUGUGGUAUAAUUAUACCUUUAAGUA
Molecule: transfer RNA, 70 nt
Filed under: Amicotermes ivorensis
Lineage: Eukaryota; Metazoa; Arthropoda; Insecta; Blattodea; Termitidae
Description: tRNA-Phe
Rfam family: tRNA
About the family: Transfer RNA (tRNA) molecules are approximately 80 nucleotides in length. Their secondary structure includes four short double-helical elements and three loops (D, anti-codon, and T loops).
Source: RNAcentral